Molecule: ribosomal RNA, 477 nt
Filed under: uncultured bacterium
Lineage: Bacteria
Description: partial 16S ribosomal RNA
Rfam family: Bacterial small subunit ribosomal RNA
Source: RNAcentral
GAUAAACGCUGGCGGCGUGCAUAACACAUGCAAGUCGAACGAUGACGAUUAAAAGAUUUCUUCGGAAUGAACUUAAUUGGAUUAGUGGCCGACGGGCUAGUAACGCGUGAGUAACCUGCCUUGUACAUGGGGAUAGCCGUUCGCAACGACGAAUAAUACCCUAUCACAUUAAAUAAUCGCAUGCUAAUUUGAUCAAUGAUUUAUUGGUUUAAGAUGGACUUUCGUCUGAUUUGCUAGAUUGUAAAGUAAAAGCUUACCAAGGCAACGAUCAGUAGCAGGCUUGAGGGAGUGUACAGCCACAUUGGGACUGGGACACGUCCCCGACAGCUAGGGGUGGUAGCAGUGGGGAUAUGGCGGCAAUGAGAGAAACGCAGAAAGAGCGAGGCCGCGUGAUUUACAAGGCAUUCGGAUUAUGAAAAUCUGUAGUAUGAGAAGAAAGUGACAGUACCAUACGAAUAAGGACCGGCUAACUACGUG